This 790-nucleotide ribosomal RNA is filed under the name uncultured bacterium. RNAcentral's name for it is "bacterial SSU rRNA". It matches the Rfam family "Bacterial small subunit ribosomal RNA", at positions 8 to 765 of the family's 1533-position model. The record is from RNAcentral.
AGAGUUUGAUCAUGGCUCAGGACGAACGCUGGCGGCGUGGAUAAGGCAUGCAAGUCGAACGCGAACGAGACAACUAAUUCGUUAGGCGUCUUUAGUAGAGUGGCGAACGGGUGAGUAACGCGUGAACAACAUACCUCUCAGAGGGGAAUAACAAAGGGAAACCUCUGCUAAUACCGCAUAAUUCAAUUUAAUUAUUUUAUAUUGAUGAAAGGUGGGGACCUUCGGGCCUGCCACUGAGAGAUUGGUUCGCGUCCCAUUAGCUUGUUGGUAGGGUAACGGCCUACCAAGGCGACGAUGGGUAGCCGGCCUGAGAGGGCGACCGGCCACACUGGGAUUGAGAUACGGCCCAGACUCCUUCGGGAGGCAGCAGUCGAGAAUCUUCCACAAUGGACGAAAGUCUGAUGGAGCGACGCCGCGUGAGGGAUUAAGGCUUUAUGAGUCGUAAACCUCUGUCAGAAGGGAAGAACAGUUUAAGUAUUAAUAGUACUUUAACCUGACGUUACCUUCAGAGGAAGCUCCGGCUAACUCCGUGCCAGCAGCCGCGGUAAUACGGGGGGAGCAAGCGUUGUCCGGAAUCAUUGGGCGUAAAGGGCACGUAGGCGGUUUUGUAAGUCGAAUGUGAAAUCUCACGGCUCAACCGUGAAACUGCGUUCGAAACUACAUAACUUGAGUUAGGGAGAGGUGUACGGAAUUCCUGGUGUAGCGGUGGAAUGCGUAGAUAUCAGGAAGAACACCAAUGGCGAAGGCAGUACACUGGCCUAUAACUGACGCUGAGGUGCGAAAGCGUGGG